GCAUAAGAGCAAUUGGAAUGGGACGUAUGAGUUGUUCGCUGCUGAUGGCAAUACUUUCACUGUCAAUGGUCAUCGUCUCAAACCGUACUUCAAGUCGAACGUGGAUCGUGGUCUUGAAGUUGUCGAAUUCAAUGACCCAUGAGUUUGAGGUACCGUCAAGCUAUAGACGUUAAUUUUAGCACUUUUUGGGAGGUAACCCAAUUUUUAUUGCUUUCUUUUAGCUUGUUUUUCUUUAGUUUAAUAGUUCUUUUUCGUUUUUCCAAGUCUGUUCUUAAAAAAAAAAAAAAAUCGCAGGACCCGGCGACCGCCGCCUGACCGCCGGGGUCAGGCCAAAUUUAACAAAGGAGCCGGCGACCGCCGCCCGACCGCCGCCGGGUCGCCGCGCGGUCGCCGUGCGUGCGGGCAGGUGCGUUUUAAAUGGUUUUUCUCCCCUUUUCCUCAUUCUUUCACUUCCUUUCACUCC
Molecule: long non-coding RNA, 463 nt
Filed under: Salvia miltiorrhiza (redroot sage)
Lineage: Eukaryota; Viridiplantae; Streptophyta; Magnoliopsida; Lamiales; Lamiaceae
Description: long non-coding RNA (SMIL_LNC001316)
Source: RNAcentral